UGGCUUCUUAGUGUUUCACUCCUGUGAGC
This 29-nucleotide non-coding RNA is filed under the name Rattus norvegicus (Norway rat). The record is from RNAcentral. Lineage: Eukaryota; Metazoa; Chordata; Mammalia; Rodentia; Muridae.